Papio anubis (olive baboon) is the source of this 147-nucleotide unclassified non-coding RNA. It matches the Rfam family "Metazoan signal recognition particle RNA". From Rfam's summary of the family: The signal recognition particle (SRP) is a universally conserved ribonucleoprotein. It is involved in the co-translational targeting of proteins to membranes. Lineage: Eukaryota; Metazoa; Chordata; Mammalia; Primates; Cercopithecidae. The record is from Ensembl.
ACUGGGCAUGGUGGUGCAUGCCUGUAUUCCAGCUACUUGGGAGGUUGAGGUGGGAGGAUUGCUUGAGCCCAGAAAGUCAAGGCUGCAGUGAGCCAUGUUCACACCACUGCACUCCAGCCUGGGUGACAAAGCGAGAUCCUAUCUUAA